CCUACGGGAGGCAGCAGUAGGGAUAUUCACAAUGAGCGAAASUUGAUGGAGCGACACAGCGUGCAGGAAGACGGUCUUCGGAUUGUAAACUGCUGUUAUAAGGGAAGAACAACAAGUAUAGGAAAUGAUAUUUGUCUGACGGUACCUUAUCAGAAAGSACCGGNAACUAUGUGCCAGC
RNAcentral lists this ribosomal RNA (178 nucleotides) under uncultured bacterium. RNAcentral describes it as "partial 16S rRNA". It matches the Rfam family "Bacterial small subunit ribosomal RNA", at positions 338 to 512 of the family's 1533-position model. The record is from RNAcentral.